GAUGAACGCUGGCGGCGUGCUUAACACAUGCAAGUCGAACGAGAAGUGAAGACGGAAACCUUCGGGCGGAAGGCUUUAUUUCGAGUGGCGGACGGGUGAGUAACGCGUGGGUAACCUGCCUCAUACAGGGGGAUAACAGUUGGAAACGACUGUUAAUACCGCAUAAGACCACAGCACCGCAUGGUGCGGGGGUAAAAACUCCGGUGGUAUGAGAUGGACCCGCGUUCGAUUAGCCAGAUGGCGGGGUAACGGCCCACCAAAGCGACGAUCGAUAGCCGAUCUGAGAGGAUGACCGGCCACAUUGGGACUGAGACACGGCCCAAACUCCUACGGGAGGCAGCAGUGGGGAAUAUUGCACAAUGGGGGAAACCCUGAUGCAGCGACGCCGCGUGAGUGAAGAAGUAUUUCGGUAUGUAAAGCUCUAUCAGCAGGGAAGAAAAUGACGGUACCUGAGUAAGAAGCCCCGGCUAACUACGUG
RNAcentral lists this ribosomal RNA (478 nucleotides) under uncultured bacterium. RNAcentral's name for it is "partial 16S ribosomal RNA". It matches the Rfam family "Bacterial small subunit ribosomal RNA", at positions 28 to 507 of the family's 1533-position model. The record is from RNAcentral.